AGCAGCCGCGGUAAUUCCAGCUCCAAUAGCGUAUAUUAAAGUUGUUGCAGUUAAAAAGCUCGUAGUUGAAUUUCGGGAUCAAUAUGUUGGUCGUGCCAUUGGUACGUACUGGCAUUAUUGGUUUCUACCUUCUGAAGAACCUCGAUGUCAUUAAUUUGGUGUCUUGGGGAAUCAGGACUGUUACUUUGAAAAAAUUAGAGUGUUUAAAGCAAGCUCGCGCUUGAAUACAUUAGCAUGGAAUAAUGAAAUAGGACGUUUGAUUCUAUUUUGUUGGUUUCUAGGAUUGACGUAAUGAUUAAUAGGGAUAGUUGGGGGCAUUAGUAUUCAAUUGUCAGAGGUGAAAUUCUUGGAUUUAUUGAAGACUAACUACUGCGAAAGCAUUUGCCAAGGAUGUUUUCAUUAAUCAAGAACGAAAGUUAGGGGAUCGAAGACGAUCAGAUACCGUCGUAGUCUUAACCAUAAACUAUGCCGACUAGGGAUCGGAUGAUGUUAAUUUUUUAAUGACUCAUUCGGCGCCUUACG
Molecule: ribosomal RNA, 522 nt
Filed under: uncultured Glomeraceae
Lineage: Eukaryota; Fungi; Glomeromycota; Glomeromycetes; Glomerales; Glomeraceae
Description: SSU rRNA
Rfam family: Eukaryotic small subunit ribosomal RNA
Source: RNAcentral